RNAcentral lists this ribosomal RNA (257 nucleotides) under uncultured bacterium. Its description in RNAcentral is "partial 16S ribosomal RNA". It matches the Rfam family "Bacterial small subunit ribosomal RNA", at positions 256 to 504 of the family's 1533-position model. The record is from RNAcentral.
GGUAACGGCCCACCAAGGCGACGAUCAGUAGCCGGUCUGAGAGGAUGAACGGCCACAUUGGAACUGAGACACGGUCCAGACUCCUACGGGAGGCAGCAGUGGGGAAUCUUCCGCAAUGGACGAAAGUCUGACGGAGCAACGCCGCGUGAGUGAAGAAGGCCUUCGGGUUGUAAAGCUCUGUUAUUCGGGAAGAACGAUUCGUUUGUGAACAAUGAACGGAAGUGACGGUACCGAAAGAGAAAGCCACGGCUAACUAC